UACGUAGGGGGCAAGCGUUAUCCGGAAUUACUGGGUGUAAAGGGAGCGCAGGCGGGAAGACAAGUUGGAAGUGAAAACCAUGGGCUCAACCCAUGAAUUGCUUUCAAAACUGUUUUUCUUGAGUAGUGCAGAGGUAGAUGGAAUUCCCGGUGUAGCGGUGGAAUGCGUAGAUAUCGGGAGGAACACCAGUGGCGAAGGCGGUCUACUGGGCACCAACUGACGCUGAGGCUCGAAAGCAUGGGUAGCAAACAGG
RNAcentral lists this ribosomal RNA (253 nucleotides) under Faecalibacterium prausnitzii. RNAcentral describes it as "partial 16S ribosomal RNA". It matches the Rfam family "Bacterial small subunit ribosomal RNA", at positions 524 to 776 of the family's 1533-position model. Lineage: Bacteria; Bacillati; Bacillota; Clostridia; Eubacteriales; Oscillospiraceae. The record is from RNAcentral.